CAUUAAGAAGCUAUGUACCAGCACUAGCCUUUUAAGCUAGAGACAGAGGAUUCUCCCCUCCUUAAUGA
RNAcentral lists this transfer RNA (68 nucleotides) under Neodrepanis coruscans (wattled asity). RNAcentral's name for it is "tRNA-Lys". The record is from RNAcentral. Lineage: Eukaryota; Metazoa; Chordata; Aves; Passeriformes; Philepittidae.